This 611-nucleotide long non-coding RNA is filed under the name Mustela putorius furo (domestic ferret). RNAcentral's name for it is "lncRNA (ENSMPUG00000031720.1)". The record is from RNAcentral. Lineage: Eukaryota; Metazoa; Chordata; Mammalia; Carnivora; Mustelidae.
CUUGGACCCUGGGGAGCUGGACAGAGGAAUCCGGGCUCACAGCCCUGUAGCCCCAGGGUGCCAAGAGCGUUUGGUCUGGUGUGGUAUCUCCCGCAUCCCUCUCCGGCUUCAGCCUCCUUUCUUGUUACUCGCCGAUGGGUCGUGGAAUUCCUUGGUUCUCGGCUUCUCGAAGGAAAGAAUUCAGUCCAGAGACCUGAGAGUAAAGCAGUUAAAGCAGCAAAGGCUUUUAUUUAGCAAAGCGAAAGUACACUGCAGAGAUGGAGGAGCAGGUUGACCUGAGGGUGGGGAGCGGCUUGAUGAGUUCUGUCUUGUGUUUUCUUUCGCGAGUCUCUGGUGUCCUCUCUCCCAUCUUGUCAUCGUCACAGCACCCUCCGAUUCGCCCCGGUCUCCUCUCCGGCAACCUUCUGCACAGCCUGGAAAGGAAACCUCUUCUUCCACGCCCAGAAGAUUCUGACGUCACAUCACUGGAGGGGUCCCCAGUUCCUAAGGUUCGGGCUUCCCUCCCCUGCCACGCCUUCUCCAGCCACCCUGCAUCAGUACCAGAGGGGCAUGGAACAAGUAGGGAUGGGCCAGACUGUUUUAAUAAAUAAUAUCGAUACUGUGAAAGAUGA